Long non-coding RNA from Cavia porcellus (domestic guinea pig), 4885 nucleotides. RefSeq lists it as uncharacterized. The record is from RefSeq and is a predicted model, not a curated record. The transcript has 2 exons. Lineage: Eukaryota; Metazoa; Chordata; Mammalia; Rodentia; Caviidae.
CCCAGCAAUCUUAGUCCCUGUCAUUUUAGUUGUGAGCCCAGAGGCCACACUGAUGAUUGUCUUCAUUUUAAAGCACAGAAUGUAUCCCCUUCUGAGAAAGAAGGUAAAGCAGAAGGAGCUGGGUAGUUGGAUUCUCUGGGGGUCUCAACUGCAUGAUCUAGGCUGACUUUGAACUCAUGGCAGUUCUCCUGCCUCAACCUCCCAACUGCUGGGAUUCCAGGCAUGUACCACCAUCCUUGGCCUGGAAAUAUCUUUUUAAAUUGCUUCAUCUUUAAGGGCUGUUUAGUCAUACUGAAACAAUUUAAAGACUUUCAUUCACUAAGAAAAUAAAAUACCAGUUUGUAAGAAACAUACAAUUUUUUUUCUCCUUUGGUAAAUAAGGAAUCUUGUCUUCACAAGACAAAAGGUCAUUGCCUGAUAAAUAGAUGGCAGAAUUUACAGGAGAAAAACAUUAAGUUUCCACAAAUGGUAAAGGAAAUGUUGAGUCAGAAUGACAUACGUGUCCUGGAUUUUUUUCUUCGAAGUGACUUUUGGCUGUUACAUGCUUACUUCCGGUGGCAAUAUAAUCUCACAGAUGAGCUCAGAGAAAUUCCUUAUACAUUGAAAAUUACAAAAAAAAAAAAAAAAGAUUUUCUUUCAGUUACACUUACAUUGGAGAAAAACAGCAGAUUGCCAAAACAUUUCCACUCUCCUGUUUUUUAAAAAAUUUAUUUAUUUAAAAAUUUUCUUAGAACUGGGAAUCAAAUUCAGGACCUUGCACUUGCCAGGCAGUUGCUGUGCUGCUAAGCUGUAUCCCUGGACCAAUUUACCUCUUUAUUAUUUGAGUACAAAGAGAGUGCAUAAAGGACAAGCUUUUCUUGGACCAUUGGGAGAAAUCUCCAGCUUGCUGUAAGGAUUUCCUAAUAAUUGUGUGCUCUGAGCAUUGAGCACUGCGAGGUCCACAGUUGUGGCAGUGGAGGGUCAGACUUGAAUGUCCAGUUAGUUGGUGCUGGCCUUUAAGGUUCCAAAACUUCCCCGAUAUGUUUGUUCUGCACUGACUCAAUAGGUUAAAACCAGGAUGAAAACAAAACCUUUCCUCAUAUAUACAUUCGUUAGAACGAAAGUAAGAGCGAAACCGUCCCGAAACUGUAGAAAAUCCUAACAUUUAUGUCGUCUGGUAGAUUGAACUAUUUGUUGGAAAAGGGAACCAGAAAGCAGACAGUGAAUAAUCCGAAAACGAAGGCGUCCCCCAGGGGCGCAGGGGGGUUCAGGUUCCCGCACUUGCCUUUGAAUGUGAAGGGAAACAGACGGUGGCCACACUUUAGUGACAGCAGAUGUAGUGUCAUUACACCUUCCUCCACAGCCCCAGGAUGCCGUAGGGUUCUCCUCCUACCUUUUAAAAAAGAGUUUUAGAGAGAGAAAAUGUUUGCUUGUCUCAAGGCUUGCCUUCCCUGAGCUGCUCAGACUGUCUUGGGUUACAGUCUCCCUUCCUUGGGCUGCCAAAACAACGCACCGCCCACUGGGUGGCUUAAACACUCCAUUUCCUCCGGAGAGGGGAUCAGAGAUCAAGGGCCUGGAGGCUGGUUUCAUCUGAGGGCUUUCUCCUCAGCGUAUGGAUGGCGCCUUCUUCCCCCCUCAUCUGUGUCUUCAAUGGCUCUCUCCACAUCGUGUCACAUGAUGAGGUCCUUGGGUAGACUUUGGUGUUUGAACUUUGCAGUGGACAUAAUUUAGCCCGUAACGUACUUGUACUUGCUUUUAUAAACCCAAGUAAAGACACGAUGUAAAGCUGUGUGUACAGAGAUCCAGGACAUGGGAGUUGGGGGUGUGUGGCAGAUGAUGAAGGACACAGGUGGCUAAUUAACCCACUGUGGGCUUCAGGAGACUGCUGAGGAGGCCUAUGAAUCCUACACUGUAUCGCCUCUUUCUCAAAGAUGCCUGGACUGGAAAGGGAUAAAGUAGAAAACCCAUGAGCAGGUGUGGACCGGGGGCCUGUGCGAGCCCGGGUGCUCAUGCUACACUGUCUCCUAGAUCACGGUAAUGGAAUUGAGUCCACCCAUGUGUGUGACUGUUUGUAAAGUGACUUCACAUCCACUCUCUGUGGUAAUGAUUGUCCCGCUCACUAUGAGGAGGGAUUAGUACCACCUGACAGAGAAAACUACAUCAUCUCAAUGGGUUCUGUUCUACAGCUCAUUGAUUUUUUUUUUUUUUGUACUGGGGAUUGAAUUUACAACCUCGUGCUUGCCAGGCAGGCACUUAUGCCACUGAGCUAAAUCCCUGGCCCUCUGGUUUCUGUUCUGUUCUGUUUCGUUUUGUUUUUGUUUUUUUGAGACAGAGUCCCACUAAGUUGUUUGGGCUGGCCUGCAUAGCCCAGGAUAGCCUGGGAUCCCAUGAAUCCUCCUCCUGCUUCAGCUACCGUAUCUGGCUCUCUCAUUUGUUCUUUCUGUCAGUCUCUUGCAAAAAUGUGUUUUGUCCAAGGCCCGUUAUAACUGACAAGUGGCAGAAAUAGUAGUCAUCUGGUUUCAAGGUCAGAAUUAAAUUUCUACUGCAAUGUGUAGAUUAGCAGGAUUUUGUUUUGUUCUUUCGGUCUUUUUGAGACAGGGUAUCAAUACGUAGUUGAGGAGGUCCUUGAACUCACUUGUGUAGCCCAUGGUGGCCUCGAACUUGCAGUAAUCCUCCUGCCUCAGUGUUCUGAUGGCCUGACCUACAGGUGUGCGCCACCACACCUGGCCUGUUUUUUUGUUGUGGUUUUGUUUUGUUUUUACAAAAUGAAAAACUUUCCUUUGACUACAACCCUUCCUAUUACUACUCAGUACUGAGUUAAGGGAAAAAUUGAAAGUAAAUGUGGAGCUUUUUAUAGCUUGUCACACCACACAAGAGUGAGGGAAGCGUCUGCAUUUGUGGGCCGGAUACACCAGUAGGAAGUAACUGCAAUUUAGAUAAUAACAACUGCUUAAAUUCUACCAUUUUGAAUGAAUCAAAUAAUACUUUUUUUUUUCCCUCAUGGCAGUUUCUGCUUAAGUUUCUCUAACACAUCUGUAGUAAGUUUCCACAAAGAGUCGGAAAUGGGUAAAUUGUGAUUAUGGUAGGGGAAAAAUGUCAGCUUUGCUAAGGAAAAUAUGAAGACACAGACACACUUGGAGAUAGUCAUUUGCUUAGGAAGAGUUACUCAGAGACAGGGUGCUGUUAGGGCAGAGCUGGUGAGUGUGGCAGUGGGGGGCGGGGGCGGGGAAACGAUGGUGGGUGGGUGGUGGUGGUAGGGGUUGGAAGGGUGGCCAGGGAAAGGGUUUUAAAUAAAAGUCAUUCUCCAGAGGCUACCACAUAAUGAUCCCGCAGAUUUUUGGUAAGUGGGUCCUUUUAGGAAGAUAAUAGGGGGGGCUGGGGGUUUAGCUCAGGGGCAUAAGCUCCUGCCUUGCAAGCAGGAGGUCCUGAGUUUGAUCCCGGUACCUAUAAAAAUGAAAAAGAAAAAAAAAAAAAAAAGGAAGAUAAUGGUUCUGUCUUCCUUUCGUUUUUAAAACUAUGAUAAUCAUAAGACAUUUAUCUCAAACAAGAUAAAGUUAAGAACUCUCGUAACUUCAGGGGACAGAACUUUGAAUUUUCACAUCCUGCCAAUACCAUGAAUAACUAUGUCUGGAAUUUUGUUUUUGUAACUAUGUUGUUUAUUUUAAAGUACCUUUAACAUCACCAGCCCUACAUUCAGUGAAUUCUUGGAGUGGAAGGACUUCUAUCUUUGAUGUCUGUAUAAAUUUUUAGAAUAGCUUAAUUAAGGUAAAGCUCAUAUAGCAUUAAUUUUCUCUUUAAAGUAAACAAUCAGAUGGUUUUUAGUAUACUCACAGAACUGUGUGACCAUCACCAUAGUAGCUUUUAGAAUGUUUUCAUCACUCGUCAGAAAGAAACACCUCUAUAAAUUUUUAAUGCUGGAGGUUACUUUGCAUUUCAAAUUUUUUUUCUAAUCUGUCAAAGUCAUAGCUGUCACCCAGCUGGAAAGAUGUGGUCUUUCACUGGGAUGUCUCCUCAUACAGCAUUAACCCUGGGCUGGGGAUAUAGCUCUGCAGUAGAGUGCUUGCCUAGCACUGGGAAAAAGCAAACAAGCAAGGAUUAGUUCAACUGUGUUGUUUAAAUUCCAGCCCAGGCAACAUUUUCUUACCCUGAUGCUCAGUGCAUCGGCCACCUGUAGAGACUCUGCUUGCCCUCACCCACUCUGUCCUGCAGGUAACAGAGGCCUUGAAUUAGGGCGAGUCCAAGUGACACACGCUCUAUAUGCAUAGUAUACACUGUCUGAGAGACUUAGCUUGAAAAAGCAAGAACAGGGGCUGGGGAUUUAGCUCAGCGGCAUAAGCGCCUGCCUUGUAAGCAGGCAGUCGUGAGUUCGAUCCCUAGUACCGAUAAAAACGAAAAAGACAAAAAAAAAAAAAAAAAAAAGCAAGAACAUAAAAAUUUCCACGAAUUGGGCUGGGGUUAGAGAUCAAGGAUAGCGUGCUUGCCUAGCACAUGUAAGGCUCUGGGUUCAAUUCUUAGCACUGGGGGCGAGAGGAAGGAAAAAAUCUUAUAUGUUGAAUAUAUGUUAAAUUACAAUAUUUUUAGAAGAUUGAAAUAAGUGGUGUAUUAAAAUUAAUUUUAUCUUUUUUUAAAAUUUUUACAUUUAUUUAUUAUUUAUUGAGACAGUCUUGCUGCGCAGUUCAGGUUGAUCUUGAACUCACUAUGUAGCCCAGGUUGGCCUCGAACUCUGAGUGAUCCUCCCAUCUCAGCCUCCUGAGAGCUGGGGUUACAGCUGUACAUCCUCGCAGAGGGCUUUAUUUCUACCUUUGAAUAUGGGGCUGCUAAAACAUUUCAAACUCCGUGUGUAGGCUUUGUUCUAUUGGACAGCGCUGGUGUGGACGGCAUGGAUGUGAAGACAUCGCCCUCUGCU